UUAUUGUCAGUUGACACCAUGACGUCCAUAAACAUUUCAACUUUACUUUUAAUUUUUAUUAUUUUUCUAAUUCAAAUUGCAAGUAUUUAUUGUGCACCACAGGGUUUGAACUUCGGAUUACCGUCACUACUUGGUGUCAAUAGUGCUUUAUUAAAUGUAUCUCUCGGCUAACAAAUGAAGGUUUUAUUUGGAGAUACAGAUAAGCAGAUUCGGAUUUCAAGUUAUACGAUGUGGCUGUAAUUAUUAUAAAAUAAAAUUUA
Long non-coding RNA from Pieris rapae (cabbage white), 260 nucleotides. RefSeq lists it as uncharacterized. Lineage: Eukaryota; Metazoa; Arthropoda; Insecta; Lepidoptera; Pieridae. The record is from RefSeq and is a predicted model, not a curated record. The transcript is spliced from 3 exons.